RNAcentral lists this ribosomal RNA (497 nucleotides) under uncultured bacterium. RNAcentral describes it as "partial 16S ribosomal RNA". It matches the Rfam family "Bacterial small subunit ribosomal RNA", at positions 28 to 507 of the family's 1533-position model. The record is from RNAcentral.
GAUGAACGCUGGCGGCGUGCCUAAUACAUGCAAGUCGAGCGAACAGACGAGGAGCUUGCUCCUCUGACGUUAGCGGCGGACGGGUGAGUAACACGUGGAUAACCUACCUAUAAGACUGGGAUAACUUCGGGAAACCGGAGCUAAUACCGGAUAAUAUAUUGAACCGCAUGGUUCAAUAGUGAAAGACGGUUUUGCUGUCACUUAUAGAUGGAUCCGCGCCGCAUUAGCUAGUUGGUAAGGUAACGGCUUACCAAGGCAACGAUGCGUAGCCGACCUGAGAGGGUGAUCGGCCACACUGGAACGGAGACACGGUCCAGACUCCUACGGGAGGCAGCAGUAGGGAAUCGUCCGCAAUGGGCUGAAGCAGGACGGGGCAAAGCCGCGUGAGUGAUGAAGGUCCUCGGAUCGUAAAACUCUGUUAUUAGGGAAGAACAAAUGUGUAAGUAACUAUGCACGUCUUGACGGUACCUAAUCAGAAAGCCACGGCUAACUACGUG